This 296-nucleotide ribosomal RNA is filed under the name uncultured bacterium. RNAcentral's name for it is "partial 16S ribosomal RNA". It matches the Rfam family "Bacterial small subunit ribosomal RNA", at positions 29 to 309 of the family's 1533-position model. The record is from RNAcentral.
AACGAACGCUGGCGGCGUGGAUAAGACAUGCAAGUCGAGCGGGAACUUUCGCUGUAGCAAUACAGUGAAAGUUCUAGCGGCGAACGGGUGCGUAACACGUGGACAAUCUGCCUUAAAGUGGGGGAUAGCUCGGCGAAAGCCGAAUUAAUACCGCAUGUGAUGAGAGACGACAUCGUCUUGAAAUCAAAGCCGGGGCAACCUGGCGCUUUUUGAGGAGUCCGCGGCCAUCAGCUUGUUGGUGAGGUAACGGCUCACCAAGGCUAUGACGGGUAGCUGGUCUGAGAGGACGACCAGUC